GAGAGUCCACAUCGACGGGGAGGUUUGGCACCUCGAUGUCGGCUCAUCACAUCCUGGGGCUGUAGUAGGUCACAAGGGUUGGGCUGUUCGCCCAUUAAAGUGGUACGCGAGCUGGGUUCAGAACGUCGUGAGACAGUUCGGUCCCUAUCCGUCGCAGGCGUAGGAAAUUUGAGAAGACCUGUCCUUAGUACGAGAGGAACGGGAUGGACGUACCUAUGGUGUACCAGUUGUACUGCAAAGGGCAUGGCCGGGUAGCUAAGUACGGAAUGGAUAAACGCUGACAGCUGCGAAGCGCGAAGCACACUUCAAGAAGAACGUUCCCACAGCACGGGUAAGACCCCAGAACGACACUCUGGGUGAUAGGUCGAAGGUGU
This 374-nucleotide ribosomal RNA is filed under the name Clostridioides sp. ES-S-0056-01. RNAcentral describes it as "partial 23S ribosomal RNA". It matches the Rfam family "Bacterial large subunit ribosomal RNA", at positions 2494 to 2870 of the family's 2925-position model. The record is from RNAcentral. Lineage: Bacteria; Bacillati; Bacillota; Clostridia; Peptostreptococcales; Peptostreptococcaceae.